RNAcentral lists this ribosomal RNA (416 nucleotides) under uncultured bacterium. RNAcentral describes it as "bacterial SSU rRNA". It matches the Rfam family "Bacterial small subunit ribosomal RNA", at positions 355 to 787 of the family's 1533-position model. The record is from RNAcentral.
UGGGGAAUUUUGCGCAAUGGGGGAAACCCUGACGCAGCAACGCCGCGUGGAGGAUGAAGUCCCUUGGGAUGUAAAGCUCCUUUUCGACCGGGAAGAUACUGACGGUACCGGAAGAAGAAGCACCGGCUAACUCUGUGCCAGCAGCCGCGGUAAUACAGAGGGUGCGAGCGUUGUUCGGAAUUAUUGGGCGUAAAGGGCGCGUAGGCGGUGCGGUAAGUCACCUGUGAAAUCUCCUGGCUCAACUGGGAGUCUGCAGGCGAAACUGCCGUGCUGGAGUAUGGGAGAGGUGCGUGGAUUCCCGGUGUAGCGGUGAAAUGCGCAGAUAUCAGGAAGAACACCUAUGGCGAAGGCAGCUCUCUGGGACGGUACUGACGCUGAGACGCGAAAGCGUGGGGAGCAAACAGGAUUAGAUACCC